AUGGAGGUAGUAAUAAGGAAUUACAUAGAUAACAGAAGUGGAAAAACGGCCUCAGCAAAGAGGGACAGGGAAAAGUUAGUACUAGCUUUGUUCUUAGAGGAAGGAGAGAGGUGGCGAACAUUACAGAGAGUGGCGGGAGAUAUAAUUGCUAAUAACAACAAGGCUCAACCAUUGCCUCUGACGGUUGAGUCACCGCUGCACAAACUAGUACCGUUGUACUCAUUGCUAAAAGACAACGUAGAAUCUAAAGGGGAAGUCACACUAGAUGAAGGAGAUAAUAAAUGUAACAAUACUGACAUUAAUUCUAGUAAGAGUAAAGAUGAGGACGAAGAUGGGGCAAGUGGUGUUGAGCACAGUAAUGAAGAUGUGAAAGAUGGCAAUGAGCAGGUUUGCGAGGGGCCUUCUCCAGGAAAGAAAAGGAGAGGAAAGAGAUCAGUAAAGAGAACGAAGGCUCAGAGGAGUGAUAGAGAUGGGGAAGAGAGUUUCCGUGCGUUUCGAGGGCCAGAGGAGCCUUGCUGUAGUGCAGCAUUAUGGGACUCCCUGGCACUCGAAACACAGGGGAGACCAAGGAGAUCACAGAGAGAAGAAAAAGCACCCGAAACUUCUCCAGGGAACUAUCCUAUUCUAGUCGAAGGACAACAGGUCCAUUAUCAACCAUGGGGUUCACAGGACUUGGAGGGAGUCAUUUCUAGACUCCCUAACAUACUUAACGGGGCGUCUAAAUGGAUUAGAACAUUUGAGGAACUCACAGUGGGAAAGCUAAUGGCAGUGGGGGACCUGAAAGCUCUGUUGGCAAGAGUAUUGGGGUUAUCUAAAUUGGAGUUUGUACUGAGGAAUGGAGGGUUGAAUAUACUGGAUGGAAAGUAUGAUGAGACUACACUUGAUCAUUGCAGAGGGGCGUUGUGGGCCACACUCAGGAGGGAGUUCCCGGUCCGUAUGGAUCCUAAAAGCAUGAGAGGUCUCCCUAUUGGUGACACAGAGAACCCUGCAUCCUACCUGCAGGCCCAAGUAGACAGAUGGCGCAUUGAGACGGAUGAGGAUCCUGAGAUCCAUCCGGUGUUCUCUGUCAUGUUUAGAAACUCUGUGAUAGAGACACUACCCAGCCAAAUCAAAGCCAAGCUAGAGGAUGUGGUUGGACUGUCUACAUCAGGAUCUCAUAGAGAUUUUAAUGACCAUUUAGUUCAUGCAGUGGAUGAAUAUCGUCAGGAUAAACAAAGAAUACAGGAACAAAGCAAGGAGGUUCAGAGGAAGCUAUAUCAGCUUCAGCUGGAAGAUCUCACAAGGAAGGAAAGAGAUAAGAAGAGACAGGCAGGUGUUUUAGAACCAGCUGCUGUAAUACCGCAAGCCGCCCAGCAGGGCGCACUUCAAAACCAAUAUCCAAGAUUGGCAUUUUCUCUCCCAGUACAACAGCCUCAGAGCCAACUGUCACCUACUCCACCUGUUACACAUGUGCACAUCCAUAAUUAUGGGAACCCCACAAAUAAAAAUAGACAGAAUCAGCAACAGGGGUCCCAAGGACAGAAUAGAAAUAAUCAACAGCAAGGAUUCCAAGGGCAACGCAGAGGUCCUUUAGUAUGUUAUGGGUGCAACCAGGAAGGACAUACUAAGAGAAAUUGUUUCACUAACCCUUUUCCAUCCCAACAAGGACAGGGCAACGUCUAUCAGGGGAGGCAAGACCAAGGGAGCUACAACCGGGGACAGCAGGGCCCCUUUGUAGGUCAGGGAUACUAG
RNAcentral lists this long non-coding RNA (1731 nucleotides) under Gadus morhua (Atlantic cod). RNAcentral's name for it is "lncRNA (ENSGMOG00000034498.1)". The record is from RNAcentral. Lineage: Eukaryota; Metazoa; Chordata; Actinopteri; Gadiformes; Gadidae.